GCACCAGUGGUCUAGUGUUAGAAUAGUACCCUGCCACGGUAUAGACCCGGGUUCGAUUCCCGGCUGGUGCA
This 71-nucleotide transfer RNA is filed under the name Ipomoea nil (Japanese morning glory). It matches the Rfam family "tRNA". Rfam says of the family: Transfer RNA (tRNA) molecules are approximately 80 nucleotides in length. Their secondary structure includes four short double-helical elements and three loops (D, anti-codon, and T loops). Lineage: Eukaryota; Viridiplantae; Streptophyta; Magnoliopsida; Solanales; Convolvulaceae. The record is from Rfam by way of RNAcentral.